UAUAUUUUAUAUUGUUCUAGGCCUCUAAGAGGAAAUCUCGAUUAAAUACCGCAAAGAAGGACGAAGAGAAGGCAAGAGUUGCAGAGGUUGAAGGAUUGGUAGAUAUGCUAGGAAAAGAUGCUGCUACGGCUUCUAUUAUCGGACUGGGGAAUACAAACUUUCUGAAAGCUUUAUCACCCAUAGAAACCACAUCAAGAACUCCAAAAUCCCCUGCAAUGACGAAAACCAAUCCUAAAUGAAGACGAUAAUCAAUGUAAAACACUUUAGUAUUAUUACUAUAUCUCUCUCUGUGUGUUUUCUGAUGUAAUAAAUAUUUGAAAUGUA
This is a long non-coding RNA of Eurytemora carolleeae, 324 nucleotides long. RefSeq lists it as uncharacterized. The record is from RefSeq and is a predicted model, not a curated record. The transcript is spliced from 3 exons. Lineage: Eukaryota; Metazoa; Arthropoda; Copepoda; Calanoida; Temoridae.